UACGUAGGGUGCAAGCGUUGUCCGGAUUUAUUGGGCGUAAAGAGCUCGUAGGCGGUGUGUCACGUCGGCCGUGAAAACCUGCAGCUUAACUGUGGGCGUGCGGUCGAUACGGGCAUCACUGGAGUUCGGCAGGGGAGACUGGAAUUCCUGGUGUAGCGGUGAAAUGCGCAGAUAUCAGGAGGAACACCGGUGGCGAAGGCGGGUCUCUGGGCCGAUACUGACGCUGAGGAGCGAAAGCGUGGGGAGCGAACAGG
RNAcentral lists this ribosomal RNA (254 nucleotides) under uncultured bacterium. RNAcentral describes it as "partial 16S ribosomal RNA". It matches the Rfam family "Bacterial small subunit ribosomal RNA", at positions 524 to 776 of the family's 1533-position model. The record is from RNAcentral.